GGUAACGAAAUAAUAACAGCAGCGAGAUCGUUACUGUAGGCUUAGCCUAGCCUACUAGUACUUUUCACUUACUUUGCCAAGUUGUAAACUCUACAAACUGAUUGAACCAUCGCUUAUUCAUGUGAAUAACAUGCAAUCAUGAGUGUACACGAUCUGAAAGACCAAGGAAACAGAUUUUAUAGCGCUAAGAAAUUCGAUGAAGCAAUAUCAUGUUACUCGAAGGCCAUAGUGAGUCACCAAAAACAUAGAGCCGGGCCGAGCCUUGCCCUAGCCGGGCACGCUUUCAGUGUUAAAAACCAGUCUUACCCAGCCCUGUUCACCAAUCGUGCAUUAUGCUACGUCAAGUUAAAAAAGUGGGCCGAAGCAGCCAAGGAUUGUCGACAGGCAAUAGAGAUGGAUCAAACACUAGUCAAAGGGCAUUUCUUCCUGGGACAGGCUUUGCUUGAGAAGGGGAUGUAUGAUGAAGCUAUAACAAGUCUAAAGAAAGCUUGUGAUUUAGCAAAAGAUCAGAAACUUAACUAUGGCGAUGACAUUACUAGUGCUCUUCGAUGUGCAAAGAAGAAACGAUGGAAUUUUCUGGAAGAGAAACGUAUCCAACAAGAUAUUGAACUCCAAUCAUACCUCAAUAGAUUAAUGAUAGAAGAUAAAGAUAGGAAACUCAAACUUGCAGAAGAUGGGAGUAAAAUCACAGAUUCAGAGAAACUAAAGGAAAAAGUACAAUUAGAACAUGAUAAACACAUGACAGAAGUAAAUUCAUUGUUUGCACAAGUAGACGAACGAAGAAUGAAACGAGACGUUCCUGAUUAUCUAUGUGGUAAAAUAAGUUUUGAGUUGAUGCGGGAACCAGUAAUAACAAGAAGUGGCAUUACGUAUGAUAGGAAGGAUAUUGAAGAACAUCUUCAGGAUGAUAUGGAAAGCCCAAUGAAGUGAGAUUAAUGACUACUUAUUGAUACGGACCCCUAAACAUGGAUGAUAUGGAAAACCCAAUGAAGUGAGAUUAAUGACUACUUAUUGAUACGGACCCCUAAACAUGGAUGAUAUGGAAAACCUAAUAAAGUGUGAUUAAUUACUAUUUAUUGAUUCUGACCCCUAAACAUGCAUGAUAUUGGAAAGUUGAAAGAAUGAGAUACAGUCAUGAAUUUAUUAUAUGGAAAGCUAACAGUCAGAUGAAUGUUUGAAUGAGCAUAUAAAAGAUUAUUUUUUUGCUUUUUUAACACCCCAUUGGCUGGUAAUCAGUUUUAGUAAUUUUAUAGUAUUAACUCUAAUUUAGUAAAACUGUUUUUUAUUUGUGUUUUAUUGAAAGUUAAUGACUUAUUUGGUUUUUAUUUUGUUCUUGUGAAAACAUAGUGAAACACACCAAUUGUAUUGACGUAACAAAAGUCUGAAGCCUUAUUUCCAGAUUGAGUCCUUCAGGUUGUGAAUUGUGAAAGAAAUCUUUUCUUGAAAGUGUCCAUAUAGCCAAUUUUGCACAAAGGAUGACAUCUUCAGUGGCUUAAAUGUCUUCAAGGAGAGUCUUAAUAGUGAUUCAGUUCGCUUUUAACAGUCCUUGGCAUUCAUAUUUUUUUAUGUUCAUUUCUUGUUUAUGUGUAUUGUUAUUGAUUCAGUUCGCUUUUAACAGUCCUUGGCAUUCAUAUUUUUUUAUGUUCAUUUCUUGUUUAUGUGUAUUGUUAUUGUCAUUUUACUGCCGAAAUUGAAUAAAUCAAAUAAAAUCU
This 1712-nucleotide unclassified non-coding RNA is filed under the name Anneissia japonica. RNAcentral describes it as "e3 ubiquitin-protein ligase CHIP-like, transcript variant X4". The record is from RNAcentral. Lineage: Eukaryota; Metazoa; Echinodermata; Crinoidea; Comatulida; Comatulidae.